This 986-nucleotide ribosomal RNA is filed under the name Streptomyces thermocarboxydovorans. RNAcentral describes it as "bacterial SSU rRNA". It matches the Rfam family "Bacterial small subunit ribosomal RNA", at positions 58 to 1061 of the family's 1533-position model. Lineage: Bacteria; Bacillati; Actinomycetota; Actinomycetes; Kitasatosporales; Streptomycetaceae. The record is from RNAcentral.
CAAGUCGAACGAUGAAGCCCUUCGGGGUGGAUUAGUGGCGAACGGGUGAGUAACACGUGGGCAAUCUGCCCUGCACUCUGGGACAAGCCCUGGAAACGGGGUCUAAUACCGGAUACGAGCCUCCGAGGCAUCUUGGGGGUUGGAAAGCUCCGGCGGUGCAGGAUGAGCCCGCGGCCUAUCAGCUUGUUGGUGAGGUAAUGGCUCACCAAGGCGACGACGGGUAGCCGGCCUGAGAGGGCGACCGGCCACACUGGGACUGAGACACGGCCCAGACUCCUACGGGAGGCAGCAGUGGGGAAUAUUGCACAAUGGGCGCAAGCCUGAUGCAGCGACGCCGCGUGAGGGAUGACGGCCUUCGGGUUGUAAACCUCUUUCAGCAGGGAAGAAGCGUAAGUGACGGUACCUGCAGAAGAAGCGCCGGCUAACUACGUGCCAGCAGCCGCGGUAAUACGUAGGGCGCAAGCGUUGUCCGGAAUUAUUGGGCGUAAAGAGCUCGUAGGCGGCUUGUCGCGUCGGUUGUGAAAGCCCGGGGCUUAACUCCGGGUCUGCAGUCGAUACGGGCAGGCUAGAGUUCGGUAGGGGAGAUCGGAAUUCCUGGUGUAGCGGUGAAAUGCGCAGAUAUCAGGAGGAACACCGGUGGCGAAGGCGGAUCUCUGGGCCGAUACUGACGCUGAGGAGCGAAAGCGUGGGGAGCGAACAGGAUUAGAUACCCUGGUAGUCCACGCCGUAAACGGUGGGCACUAGGUGUGGGCAGCAUUCCNCGUUGUCCGUGCCGCAGCUNACGCAUUAAGUGCCCCGCCUGGGGAGUACGGNCGCAAGGCUAAAACUCAAANGAANUGACGGGGGCCCGCACNAGCGGCGGAGCAUGUGGNUUAAUUCGACGCAACNCGAAGAANCUUACCNNGGCUUGACAUACNCCGNAAACNUCCAGAGAUGGGUGCCCCCUUGNGGUCGGNGNACAGGNGGUGCAUGGCUGUCGUCAGCUC